Molecule: ribosomal RNA, 879 nt
Filed under: Adota maritima
Lineage: Eukaryota; Metazoa; Arthropoda; Insecta; Coleoptera; Staphylinidae
Description: SSU rRNA
Rfam family: Eukaryotic small subunit ribosomal RNA
Source: RNAcentral
UAGUGACGAAAAAUAACGAUACGGGACUCAUCCGAGGCCCCGUAAUCGGAAUGAGUACAAUUUAAAACUUUUCCCGAAAAUCAAUUGGAGGGUAAGUCUGGUGCCAGCAGCCGCGGUAAUUCCAGCUCCAAUAGCGUAUAUUAAAGUUGUUGCGGUUAAAAAGCUCGUAGUCGAAUCUGUGUCCCGCGCCGCUGGUUCAUCGCUCGCGGUGUUCAACUGGCGUGUUUCGCGGGACGUCCUGCCGGUGGGCGCUCGUAUCGUUUCGGCGGUGCGUGGCCCAACUCGUAGCCGUCUCGCGCGGUUGCGAAUCCCAUCGCGGUGCUCUUUAUUGAGUGUCGAGGUGGGCCGGCACGUUUACUUUGAACAAAUUAGAGUGCUUAAAGCAGGCCAAAUUUGCCUGAAUAUUGUGUGCAUGGAAUAAUGGAAUAGGACCUCGGUUCUAUUUUGUUGGUUUUCUGAACCCCGAGGUAAUGAUUAAUAGGAACGGAUGGGGGCAUUCGUAUUGCGACGUUAGAGGUGAAAUUCUUGGAUCGUCGCAAGACGGACAGAAGCGAAAGCAUUUGCCAAAAACGUUUUCAUUGAUCAAGAACGAAAGUUAGAGGUUCGAAGGCGAUCAGAUACCGCCCUAGUUCUAACCAUAAACGAUGCCAGCUAGCGAUCCGCCGACGUUCCUCCGAUGACUCGGCGGGCAGCUUCCGGGAAACCAAAGCUUUUGGGUUCCGGGGGAAGUAUGGUUGCAAAGCUGAAACUUAAAGGAAUUGACGGAAGGGCACCACCAGGAGUGGAGCCUGCGGCUUAAUUUGACUCAACACGGGACACCUCACCAGGCCCGGACACCGGAAGGAUUGACAGAUUGAGAGCUCUUUCUUGAUUCGGUGG